AGCGACAGGCCUAACGACAUAGCAAGUCAGGGGCAGCACAAGGAGCAAUCUGAGGUGGCGACCGGCGCACGGGUGAGUAACACGUAUGCAACCUGCCUGUAAGCGGGGAAUAACCCGUUGAAAGAACGGACUAAUACCGCAUAAUACUAAAUUACUGCAUGGUAAUUUAUUUAAACAUUUAUGGCUUACAGAUGGGCAUGCGCAUGAUUAGCUAGUUGGAGAGGUAACGGCUCCCCAAGGCAACGAUCAUUAGGGGUUCUGAGAGGAAGGUCCCCCCACACUGGUACUGAGACACGGACCAGACUCCUACGGGAGGCAGCAGUGAGGAAUAUUGGUCAAUGGACGAGAGUCUGAACCAGCCAAGUCGCGUGCAGGAAGAAUUGUCCUAUGGAUUGUAAACUGCUUUUGCAGGGGAAUAAAGUGCAUCACGUGUGAUGUUUUGUAUGUACUCUGCGAAUAAGGAUCGGCUAACUCCGUGCCAGCCGCCGC
Molecule: ribosomal RNA, 489 nt
Filed under: uncultured bacterium
Lineage: Bacteria
Description: bacterial SSU rRNA
Rfam family: Bacterial small subunit ribosomal RNA
Source: RNAcentral